UCACAAUGCUGACACUCAAACUGCUGACA
This 29-nucleotide non-coding RNA is filed under the name Homo sapiens (human). Lineage: Eukaryota; Metazoa; Chordata; Mammalia; Primates; Hominidae. The record is from RNAcentral.